This 327-nucleotide unclassified non-coding RNA is filed under the name uncultured bacterium. RNAcentral describes it as "contains 16S-23S intergenic spacer region". The record is from RNAcentral.
AGGAUCGCGUCACCGACCGGAUCGACUACUCGUUGGGAGAGCCGACCGACACUUACGGGCACGGCACUCAUGUCGCCGGCAUCGUGGGUGGUCUUCCCCAGUCGGGCUCCGAUCAGUCCGAUGCGAACGGCUUCCUUUAUGGAGUCGGUGUGGCGCCGGGUGUGAAGUUCGUCGAUCAAAACGCAAUCGGAACGACCGGUUACGGAAACGACCCCGUUACGGAGCCCUGGCCUCCUUCGGAGGGCUUGCAAACACUGUCGCGCGACUCCUGGAGGGCCGGCGCGCGGAUGUGGAACGCUUCGUGGAACACCGGCGAAGGAAACCGUG